AAUGAACGCUGGCGGCAUGCCUAACACAUGCAAGUCGAACGAGACCUUCGGGUCUAGUGGCGCACGGGUGCGUAACGCGUGGGAAUCUGCCCUUGGGUUCGGAAUAACAGUUAGAAAUGACUGCUAAUACCGAAUGAUGUCGUAAGACCAAAGAUUCAUCGCCCAGGGAUGAGCCCGCGUAGGAUUAGCUAGUUGGUGUGGUAAAAGCGCACCAAGGCGACGAUCCUAGCUGGUCUGAGAGGAUGAUCAGCCACACUGGGACUGAGACACGGCCCAGACUCCUACGGGAGGGCAGCAGUGGGGAAUAUUGGACAAUGGGCGAAAGCCUGAUCCAGCAAUGCCGCGUGAGGGAUGACGGCCU
RNAcentral lists this ribosomal RNA (361 nucleotides) under uncultured bacterium. RNAcentral describes it as "bacterial SSU rRNA". It matches the Rfam family "Bacterial small subunit ribosomal RNA", at positions 29 to 417 of the family's 1533-position model. The record is from RNAcentral.